AGCUAUUGUUAGUGUUAGUGUAUUUUUUGUGUGGCCCAAGACAAUCUUCUUCCAGUGUGGCCCAGGGAAGCCAAAAAAUUGGACACACUUGAUGUAAACAUUUCAAGAAAAUUCAGACUAUAUGAUCACUCAAGACAGCCGAUUCACCAGCCUUCUGAAGGGAAGACUAAGCAUAUUCCUAUAUUGAAGAAGGAAAGAUAUCCAUGAUGGUGAUGCCACUAAAUAGAAGCAUCUUGGAUCUUACUAUUUGGAGUAGAACCACACAAGGAGAAGCCAUCCAACCUACAUAAGACUAUGACGCUACCAUUGAAAUGGAAAAUUUGCUGGAGAAAGUUGAUUAAGUAACAUUUCACGGAAGAGGAGAAUUGUAAUAACCAUUUGAUAGAAGAGAGAUGUCCUUGAACUCAAUCUAUCCUGAAGAUGCUCCUGAGAGGGCAAACAAAUAACAUCUCUCUGGAAGGAUGCCUGCCUUUGUCAAAGCUUUCAAAUCUGUAUGACUUCUAUCUUUCCUUGGCUUCCCUUACUCAAUUAGUCAAGGAUCCUUGUGGAUGUUUAACAUAAAAUGUCACUCACAUCUGCCCUCCUCCUCAACUUUCCAUUCCAUCCUCUCCACAGAUGCCUGAUGCAUUUUCUUCUGACUCAGUCUUCUGUUUUUCAUGGAGAACACAGAGCAAGACAGAAGCUCCCAACUGUGGCAUCCAAGAGCAACUUGAGCUGCUCCCUUACUUAUCUCUGGUAAUGAUUUGAAUCCUUUGCUUUUGCCAGACUGACUCAUCUAGUCAUUGCUCCCCAAAUAUUCAUUUCCCCAUUAUUUCUUGUGGCCUAAGCACCAAAUUUUGUUCUUUCAAAAUCUACUCUUCCUUCAGGUCUGGCUCAAACUCUUUGUGAUGACUGUUCUACCAUAUGGCUUAAUAGCUAAGUACACAUGCAUUGACCUCAAGCCUUCCCACAGCUCAGGUUCCUGAGGCACAGACUCUGGAUGGAAAUUAGCACAUAAUAGGUUUAUUAGAAAGUGCUCUUGGAAUUAACAUCUUUGGAGGAAGAAAAGAAGCAAUAUUGUCCAGAGAGGGAAGUUGAACUGCAAUGAAGUUGCCACAGAGGCUUCAAUGAAUCCUUCUGGGUGUAGAGCUGGGAUGACCUUUCCAGAGUUUUCCAAUUAAGGGAAUUGUAUCUCACCUCAAUCUCUAGUCUGAACCUUGGGUGAGGCAGCUUCUUUCAGCCAAUGGCAAUUCCUGGAGGCACCAGGAGUUAUGAGCAGUCAACACUCUUUCUUUGCUCCUGAGAAAAUUGAGUGCCCUCUUUGGUCCUGAAAGCAGCUCUGGGCAGCACUCCACAGCAUCCACUACAGACUUAGUGAGUUCACCCUGGCUCUCCCACUUACAGAUUGCAGGUUGCGGCAUGGGAUUGCAUCAGCCUAUGGGGAAGAAAAAGAAGAAAAUAGACAAUCUGCACAGAAUAUGUAAAAGGAGAACCAAAGCCCAAAGAGAAAAAUGCUGAGAAGUCGCCAGCAAAGAAAGCACAGUAAACAACAGCAGGGGCCGGGCGCAGUGGCUCACGCCUGUAAUCCCAACUACUCAGGAGGCUGAGG
RNAcentral lists this long non-coding RNA (1588 nucleotides) under Homo sapiens (human). RNAcentral's name for it is "HSALNT0298310". The record is from RNAcentral. Lineage: Eukaryota; Metazoa; Chordata; Mammalia; Primates; Hominidae.